RNAcentral lists this long non-coding RNA (762 nucleotides) under Salmo salar (Atlantic salmon). RNAcentral describes it as "lncRNA (ENSSSAG00000095315.1, ENSSSAG00000095403.1)". The record is from RNAcentral. Lineage: Eukaryota; Metazoa; Chordata; Actinopteri; Salmoniformes; Salmonidae.
GCUCAUGUGUUGGCUACUCUCCAAGUACCCACUCCUGACCAUUAUGUGGCAGUAGGCACAAGUGUUCGUGAUGCGUCAGUAAAUCUUUUCAAAGAAGAAGAAGCAAAUAGUGGAAGCGCAGUCUUCCGGUGUCCUUGUACGACGACUUGACGUGGAGCUAUGUACCGACACAUUCAAGAGGACAAUGGAAUUCCAGUUCAUUUGAAAGGGGGUGUCAGCGACGCUAUCCUGUACAGAGCAACAAUGGCACUCACUAUCCUAGGAUCUGCAUAUGUCGUAUAUGAACUGGUUUGUGCCGCUUUCCCCAAGAAGAAGGAGUGACUCCAGCUGCUGGGCUCACCUGUUCUACAUGACACCCUGUUAGUUGUAAAAAGUUAUCUCUGUCACAAGGGGGUUGAUUUGUCAUGUCAUAAUGGCUUUUGUUUCAUGUUCAUGGGAUCAAUAUUUAUUUAUUUAUUUAUUAACUGAGGAUGAUUAAAUAUGCCUCUCAUUACCAAGUGGUCUUUGUUCUUUUUGUAUGUGUGUAAAUGUAUAUUUUAAGUACGGGACACACCAUAACAAACGUUGGUAGUGUGCAGCGGGCAGCCAUCCUAUCGCUUCUGACCACAGAACAUUGGUUGUCAUUUUCUGUUAAUGUGCCAACGAUUCUACAUGUGGUAUCGCCACCGUUAGUUGAAACCCAGCAGGUGAUCUACUGGGCAUGGCUGAUGUUUGUGUUGGUCUCUCUUGUCCUUUAAACUACACUGAAUAAACGAUGCUCAC